CCACACAACAGCCAGAACGGGGWUACUCCAAGCACGGCCCCGCUGGGGCCUGGUUUCCCUCAUUCAGAUGAACGCGGGCAGCACCGAGCAACGGCAGCCAAGGGAGGCAGGUCGCAAAGGGCAGGCCGCAGCUCUGAGGGAGAUCCAGGCUUUCUCGGGGCUCCGCUCGGCUCCGUCCCCCUCCCGAGGCCGCCUGGAGCGGGAGCUGCCCCGCGCCCGGGCCGCCUCAGGACCUUCGGGGGCGGCAGAGCCGGGCGGCGCCUUCCCGCCACACCAUCCCCUCACCGCCCAGGACCGGCGGGGGGGCGGGCCUUCUCCUCAGGCCGCCGCGGAGCCAGCUGCCUUCUGACUGGCCACCGGCGCUGCCCGUCGCGUAACGUCACCCGCCGCAACCAAUGGGAGCGCAGGGGCUGGGGGGGGCGCGCGCCGGGGUGGGGGCGGGGGGCGAGCGUCGCGCGCCGGCGUCGCGCGGCAGGUAGGGCCGGUACCGGCUGCGCGCGGGGGGGGGCUGAGGGGGAGGCCGGGCCGGGCCGGGUCCCUCCUGCCCCCGCUCCCCCGGGGCGCCCCUCCCUCAGGGCGGGCGGUGGCUGUGGGGGCCCCGGUGGUCGGUUGCGGGGGGGGGAGGGGAUGCUGCGGUGGCCGCGGCCUGCGGCCCGUGCGGUGGCAGCCGCCACGGCCCCGGUUAGCGGAGCAGCCCGGCAGRACGACCCCGCCGCCGGGGCGCGGAAACCCCCAGCAUCCGUGGCCCCUUGGCAGGGAUUUGCCGGGAAAAGCCUCGCUCCUCGCUUCUGGCACGAAGCCUGGAUAAAGCAGACAAAUCGGUUCGAUGCAGUGGGGGUGAGAGCGCAGAUGUGCGCCGAGCCCUGGGGCGGGGCGGGGCGGGCAGCGCCUCGGAGCCCUGGCAGAUUCGGGCUUCGGGAGGGCUCCCAGAGGAUGCGGAAGGUGAAGAGUUUAUCGGGCUUCCUCCCACCGAGGGGAGGCCCAGGACGAGCGCUCGCAGCUGUGCCGAGGGCCGCCUCGGCGGCAGUCAGGUGUCUGGGAGCUGCCGCGCUUCUCGGUCAUGACUCGGAGAUGUUUCCCGUGUUUGUUCCCUCUCCUUGUCAGUCAGAGCGUUGUUAG
This 1119-nucleotide long non-coding RNA is filed under the name Dromaius novaehollandiae (emu). RNAcentral's name for it is "lncRNA (ENSDNVG00000018695.1)". Lineage: Eukaryota; Metazoa; Chordata; Aves; Casuariiformes; Dromaiidae. The record is from RNAcentral.